This 69-nucleotide transfer RNA is filed under the name Sphaerodactylus townsendi. RNAcentral's name for it is "tRNA-Ala". The stretch from base 6 to 61 matches the Rfam family "tRNA", at positions 9 to 63 of the family's 71-position model. From Rfam's summary of the family: Transfer RNA (tRNA) molecules are approximately 80 nucleotides in length. Their secondary structure includes four short double-helical elements and three loops (D, anti-codon, and T loops). The record is from RNAcentral. Lineage: Eukaryota; Metazoa; Chordata; Lepidosauria; Squamata; Sphaerodactylidae.
GCCACAGCACAGUGGUAGAGCAUUUGCUCUGCAUGUAGAAGAUCCCAGGUUCAAGUCCUGGUAUCUUCA